This 594-nucleotide small RNA is filed under the name Pan troglodytes (chimpanzee). RNAcentral's name for it is "retained intron". Lineage: Eukaryota; Metazoa; Chordata; Mammalia; Primates; Hominidae. The record is from RNAcentral.
AGGCUCAGGGCAUCUGCAGCUGGGCUGAGAAGCAGGGCAUGGUGGGGUCCCCAGUGUUGGCUUUCUCUGCCCCCACUCAGGGAAGCUGCUCCGGGGUACUUAGAAUGUAGGAUGAUGCUGUCCCUUGCAGAGGGGGCUGGGGCACUUAGAGCCCCAGCAGAGGGUCAUUAACAGCCCUACCUGGAAGAGGGGACCUGCUGUGGACCUGGGCACCUUCUCUUGCAGGGUGAGUUCUGCAGUCAGGGUGUCCGUGAGGGCCUCAUCGUGGGCUUCAUCCACUCUAUGUGCCAGACGGCUCAGAGCUUCUGCGACAGCCCUGGGGAGAAGGGGGGUGCCACACCACCUGCCCUGCUCCUGCUGCUCUCCCGCCUCUGCCUGGACUACGAGACGGCCACCAUCUCCUACAUCCUCACUCUCACUGAUGAACAGUUUCUGGUGCAGGAUCAGUUCCCAGUGACGCCUGUGAGCACACUGUGUGCAGAGGCCAGGGAAACGGCGCGGCGGCUGCUGACCCACUACGUGAAGGUGCAGGGCCUGGUCAUAUCACAGAUGCUGCGCAAGAGCGUGGAGACUCGCGACUGGCUCAGCACUCUG